RNAcentral lists this ribosomal RNA (505 nucleotides) under uncultured organism. RNAcentral's name for it is "SSU rRNA". It matches the Rfam family "Bacterial small subunit ribosomal RNA", at positions 1 to 509 of the family's 1533-position model. The record is from RNAcentral.
CAACGAGCUAGAGUUUGAUCCGUGGCUCGAGGACGAACGCUGGCGGCGUGCUUAACACAUGCAAGUCGAACGGGGAACAAACGCUUCGGUGUUUGUUUCUAGUGGCGGACGGGUGAGUAACGCGUGAACAAGCUGUCCUUCACAGGGGGAUAACACUGAGAAAUCAGUGCUAAUACCGCAUAAGACCACAGUACCGCAUGAUACGAGGGGUCAAAGGAGCGAUCCGGUGAAGGGGGCGUUCGCGUCCCAUUAGAUAGUUGGUGAGGUAACGGCCCACCAAGUCAGCGAUGGGUAGCCGAGCUGAGAGGCUGAUCGGCCACACUGGGACUGAGACACGGCCCAGACUCCUACGGGAGGCAGCAGGUGGGGAAUAUUGGGCAAGUGGGGGGAACCCUUACCCAGCAACGCCGCGUGAGAGAAGAAGGUUUUCGGAUUGUAAAUCUCUGUCCUUGGGGGCGAAGGAAGUGACGGUACCCAGGGAGGAAGCCCCGGCUAACUACGUGCC